GUGAGAAGCGCUGGCUUACUCUGUUCGCCUCUUUCCCGCAUGUUUGACAUGUUCCCUAAGGAAGAGGUUGUGGGGUUUUGUUUUGCUUUCCUGUGUCUUCACAGUCCCGGGGAGCUCUUCCUACGGAGACCGGGGCUGCAGGGAGCUGGGAAGCGCUGCCUCCCGGCUCCUGUUGGGACCCCCCAGCCCCGCUGCUGGCCCGCGCUCGGCCGGGAGGCACCAGGGUCCCGCAGGGCAGCCCCGACCCGUGCCUGGGCGACCUGCCGCGGUGGCUCCGUCGGGCCGGGCGGAAGCGCGGGAGCGCAGGGUUGGGCAGGCCCAGGCGUGGCGGCCCCGGCGCACCUGGACGAGCCGGCAGGUGGGAGCGUCGCAGCCCCGGGGCCCCCGCCCUCGCGCGGGGGAGGAGCGGGCGGCGCGGGGCGGGCGCGGCGGGGACCGGGGCGCUGGGAGCCCGUUGGGCCGCGAACGCAGCCGCCACGCCGGGGCCUCCGAGAUCGGGUGCCCGGGAUGAGCCUCAUCCGGAAAAAGGGCUUCUACAAGCAGGACGUCAACAAGACGGUCUGGGAGCUGCCCAAGACCUACGUGUCCCCGACGCACGUCGGCAGCGGGGCCUAUGGCGCCGUGUGCUCGGCCAUCGACAAGCGGUCAGGGGAGAAGGUGGCCAUCAAGAAGCUGAGCCGGCCCUUCCAGUCCGAGAUCUUCGCCAAGCGCGCCUACCGAGAGCUGCAGCUGCUGAAGCACAUGCAGCAUGAGAACGUCAUUGGGCUCCUGGAUGUCUUCACCCCAGCGUCCUCCCUGCGCAACUUCCAUGACUUCUACCUGGUGAUGCCCUUCAUGCAGUCGGAUCUGCAGAAGAUCAUGGGGAUGGAGUUCAGUGAGGAUAAGAUCCAGUACCUGGUGUAUCAGAUGCUCAAAGGCCUGAAGUACAUCCACUCAGCUGGGGUCGUGCACAGGGACCUGAAGCCGGGAAACCUGGCUGUGAACGAGGAUUGUGAACUGAAGAUCCUGGAUUUUGGGCUGGCGCGGCCUGCAGACGUCGAGAUGACUGGCUACGUGGUGACCCGCUGGUACCGGGCCCCUGAGGUGAUCCUCAGCUGGAUGCACUACAACCAGACUGGUCAGUGUGGACAUCUGGUCUGUUGGCUGUAUCAUGGCGGAGAUGCUGACAGGGAAAACUCUGUUCAAGGGGAAAGAUUACCUGGACCAGCUGACCCAGAUCCUGAAAGUGACCGGGGUGCCAGGCACAGAGUUCGUGCAGAAGCUGAAAGACAACGCGGCCAAAUCCUACAUCCAGGCCUUGCCACAGAGCCCCAAGAAGGAUUUCACUCAGCUCUUCCCACAGGCCAGCCCCCAGGCCGUGGAACUGCUGGAGAAGAUGCUGGAGCUGGACGUGGACAAGCGCCUGACGGCCGCGCAGGCCCUUACCCAUCCCUUCUUUGAACCCUUCCGGGACCCUGAGGAAGAGACGGAGGCCCAGCAGCCGUUUGAUGAUUCCUUAGAACACGAGAAACUCACAGUGGAUGAAUGGAAGCAGCACAUCUACAAGGAGAUUGUGAACUUCAGCCCCAUUGCCCGGAAGGACUCGCGGCGCCGGAGUGGCAUGAAGCUGUAGGGACACAUCUUGCAUGGCACUGCCGGCCAGACACUACCCAAGGACCAGUAUUUAUUUGUCACUACCAAACUCAGCCCUUCUUGGAAUACAGCCUUUCAAGCAGAGGACAGAAGGAAGGAUCCUUCUCCUUGAGUGGGAAAUGGGCCUAGUAGAUGCAGAAUUCAAAUGCUGGUUGGGAGAAGAUAGCUCUGAUUCUAAUGGGCCACAUUAAACUGCUCAUCUGGAGAAUCGCCUGCAGUGGGGGGCCUUUCCUUUCUGCUGGAGUGGGGCUGAGCAGGUGCUGAGCCAGGCCGGGGGGCUGCUUUGGUUUCCUAGGGAUGCUCUAACCAAUUACCACAAACUGGGUGGCUUGAAACAGCAGCACUUGAUUCCUUCAUGGCUCUGGAGGCUGGAAAUCUGAGCUGGAGGUGUUGGCAGGGCCGUGGUCCCUUUGAAGGCUCCAGGGAAGAAUCCUUCCUUGGCUCUCUUUAGCUCAUGGUGGCAGUGGGCAGACCGUGGCAUUCCCGGCUUGGGCUGUAUUCCUCCAAUCUCUGUCUCUUCUGUUCUCUCCUCCUUUAAGAACAACAAUCAUUGGAUGUGGGGCCCACCCUAAUCCUGUAUGAGCUCAUCUCGAUCCUUAUUAAUUACACCUGCAAAAGCUCCAGUUCCAAAUAAAGUCACAUUCUCAGGUUUCAGGUGGACACGAGUUCUGUGGGGGAAACUAUUGGACUCACUACAGAUAGCUGGGAGGGAGGGCCCCUUCCUGGGCCUGGUGCUGAGGCCUAGUGCUCUGUUAAGGAACCAAAUGUGUUUGGCUGCUAAAUUAAGGGAAUUGCGGAGAGAGCUGCAGCUGGUGCGAUUGCAUUCAGGUUAUUUUGGGUGAGUGAUAAGCAAUCAAGAUAUGAAACAACAGCAGGCUUGGAGCCUGCGAGCUGCACAGGCAGAAAUGGGCUCUUGCCUGGCUUGAUGGCAACCGUUCUGCUCCCUUUGGGAGAUGGCCUGGCCCUCCAGAGCUUUGACCUGCCAGUGGCUAGAACCUCUAUGUUUUUAUCUGAGAAACUCUGGCAGAACAAAUUUCCAUGUGCACAAGCUAUCACGGACACAAUGGGUUUCAAUUUCCCUGUGCACCAGGGGACUUUUUAACAUGCAGAUUCCUGGGCCCCACUCCAGGGCUUGUGACUCAGCAGGUCUGGAGUUGAGACCUGAGAAUGUGCAUUUGAAUGAGGCCCUCUAGCCCCUACCCAAGCCUAGUGAUUCUGAUGGAUAUCAGACCAUAGUUCGAGACAUUUAGUGGAUUUCAGUCCCACUUGAUUUGUUGGGAGGCCUUAAUCAGAAACCUACAGUAGGAGGCUGAGGGGCUUCAGAUGGAGCUUCACACUCAUCUUACAGGUGUUAAAACUGAGAAAACGAAGGCUCAGACAGCUGUUUUUUUUUUGUUUGUUUUUUUGUUUUUUUGAGACAGGGUCUGGCUCUGCUACCCAGACUGGAGUGCGGUGGCACAAUCACAGCUCACUGUAACCUCAACCUCCUGGGCUCAAGCCAUCCUCCCACCUCAGUCUCCUAAGUAGCUGGGAUUAUAGGUGUAUGCCACCAGGUGUACCAGGACUACAGGUGGCUAAUUAAAACAAUUUUUUUCUUUUUUGUAUAGAUGGGGUUUCUCUAUGUUGCCCAGGGUGGUCUUGAAAUUCUGGACUCAAGUGAUCCUCCCACUUUGGCCUCCCAAAGUGCUGGGAUUAUAGGCAUGAGCCACCCUGCAGGCCCAGACAGUUUUUAAGGCCUUGAAACUCUUCUGUAUGACACUGUAAUGGUGGAUACAUAUUGUGUAUUUGUUACAAUCUGUAGGACUGGAUAACACAGAGUGAACCCUCAAGUAAACUAUGGACUUCAGUUA
This is an RNA transcript of Sapajus apella (tufted capuchin), 3482 nucleotides long. It is a transcript of the gene named mitogen-activated protein kinase 13, with no coding region annotated. The record is from RefSeq and is a predicted model, not a curated record. The transcript is spliced from 12 exons. Lineage: Eukaryota; Metazoa; Chordata; Mammalia; Primates; Cebidae.